Molecule: ribosomal RNA, 468 nt
Filed under: uncultured bacterium
Lineage: Bacteria
Description: partial 16S ribosomal RNA
Rfam family: Bacterial small subunit ribosomal RNA
Source: RNAcentral
GACGAACGCUGGCGGCGUGCUUAAUACAUGCAAGUCGAACGGAAAGGCCCUGCUUUUGCGGGGUGCUCGAGUGGCGAACGGGUGAGUAACACGCGAGUAACACGCCCCUGACAUUGGGAUAUAUUCAGGAAAAAGGGGCUAAUACCGGAUAGGAGAUCUUGCUGCACGGUGGGGGUUGGAAAGAUUCGGCGGUUGGGGAUGGACUCGCGGGUUAUCAGCUUGUUGGUGAGGUAGUGGCUUACCAAGGCUUCGACGGGUAGCCGGCCUGAGAGGGUGACCGGCCACAAUGGGACUGAGGUACGGCCCAGACUCCUACGGGAGGCAGCAGUGGGGAAUAUUGCACAGUGGGCGGAAGCCUGAGGCAGCGACGCCGCGUGCGGGAUGACGGCCUUCGAGUGGUAAACCGCUUUCGCCGGUGACGAAGCGUGAUUGACGGUAAUGGGUAAAGAAGCACCGGCUAACUACGUG